Molecule: long non-coding RNA, 1031 nt
Filed under: Salmo salar (Atlantic salmon)
Lineage: Eukaryota; Metazoa; Chordata; Actinopteri; Salmoniformes; Salmonidae
Description: lncRNA (ENSSSAG00000090000.1)
Source: RNAcentral
GUGAAAGGCACUGGAGCGACGAACCGUUCUUGCUGUCUCUGCCUGGCCGGUUCCCCUCUCUCCACUGGGAUUCUCUGCCUCUAACCCUAUUACGGGGGCUGAGUCACUGGCUUACUGGUGCUCUUCCAUGCUGUCCCUAGGAGGGGUGCUUCACUUGAUUUCAACUGUUCUGCUUGGGGCUAUGGAACCCUGACCUGUUCAUCAGACCUGCUACCUUGUCCCGGACCUGCUGUUUUGGACUCUCUCUACCGCACCUGCUGUCUCUAACUCUGAAUGCUCGGCUAUGAAAAACCAACUGACAUUUACUCCUGAGGUGCUGACCUGUUGCACCCUCUACACCCACUGUGAUUAUUAUUAUCUGACCCUGCUGGUCAUCUAUGAACAUUUGAACAUCUUGGCCAUGUUCUGUUAUAAUCUCAACCCGGCACAGCUAGAAGAGGACUGGUUCCUCUCUAUGGUUUCUUCCUAGGUUCCAACCUUUCUAGGGAGUUUUUUCUAGCCACCGUGCUUCUACAUCUGCAUUGCUUGCUGUUCGGGGUUUUAGGCUGGAUUUCUGUACAGCACUUUGUGACAUCGGCUGAUGUAAAAAAGGGCUUUAUAAUUAAAUUUGAUUGAUUGAUAGUGAGAUACCCAAUGGGUAUCUUUGACACUUAAAUUGAAUAAGAUAUUACUUAAAUACUGGAAGUCAAAUAAUACUCCAACGUUAAGAGAAUGGAAAAAUCAAAUGCUUGAAUUUAAUAUUGAAAAAGACAGACAGACAGAAUGCAUGUACAUUUUGAGUUGUGUAUUGUUUUUGUCCAUCUAGGUUUGUAUAAAAGAAAGUUAACUAAAAAUACAGUUUUUUUUAAUUAAUACAAAAUUAACUCUGUCGUAGGGACUGAAUGUUGGAGGAGCUUUAAGGGCAGUAAGUAGCAGGAGGCAGCAGGAUCAGGGGCAAAAUGCUGUCCAGUUUAAUAACAAUGAAAGGUGGUUUCCGGUGAAUGACGAAAUGCAAUGAAUAUUUACAUAAUCUACAAAAGGUAAUUACAGAA